Molecule: non-coding RNA, 178 nt
Filed under: Dialister sp.
Lineage: Bacteria; Bacillati; Bacillota; Negativicutes; Veillonellales; Veillonellaceae
Description: 6S RNA
Rfam family: 6S / SsrS RNA
About the family: E. coli 6S RNA was the first non coding RNA to be sequenced, but its function was unknown until recently. It consists of 184 nucleotides that fold into an extended hairpin structure with a large single-stranded internal bulge.
Source: RNAcentral
AAAACCCUGCUGUGCACGUGCCGCUUUAUAUUUUGAACCAACACCUUUAUAAAGGGAGUUUAAAAGCGGUUCUUGGAAGCAAUGCCCUUUUUAGGGACUGAUGACGGGAGCUGCAAGGACACCCACCUGCAAUUAUGCAGACUCAAAAUACAGCAUUAAACGACAUGGUGGGGCGAAU